UACAUGUGGGGCAAGCGUUGUUCGGAAUUACUGGGCAUAAAGGGUGCGUAGGCGGCUUGUUAAGUCAGGGGUGAAAGUUUUCGGCCCAACCGGAAAAUUGCCUUUGAUACUGGCGAGCUCGAGUGCGUGAGGGGUAACCGGAACGAGUGGCGUAGCGGUGAAAUGCGUAGAUAUCACUCGGAAGGCCAAAGGCGAAGGCAGGUUACUGGUACGCAACUGACGCUGAGGCACGAAAGCGUGGGGAGCAAACAGG
RNAcentral lists this ribosomal RNA (253 nucleotides) under uncultured bacterium. RNAcentral's name for it is "partial 16S ribosomal RNA". It matches the Rfam family "Bacterial small subunit ribosomal RNA", at positions 524 to 776 of the family's 1533-position model. The record is from RNAcentral.